This 1404-nucleotide ribosomal RNA is filed under the name Pantoea dispersa. Its description in RNAcentral is "bacterial SSU rRNA". It matches the Rfam family "Bacterial small subunit ribosomal RNA". The record is from RNAcentral. Lineage: Bacteria; Pseudomonadati; Pseudomonadota; Gammaproteobacteria; Enterobacterales; Erwiniaceae.
AGCUACACAUGCAAGUCGAACGGCAGCACAGAAGAGCUUGCUCUUUGGGUGGCGAGUGGCGGACGGGUGAGUAAUGUCUGGGAAACUGCCCGAUGGAGGGGGAUAACUACUGGAAACGGUAGCUAAUACCGCAUAACGUCGCAAGACCAAAGUGGGGGACCUUCGGGCCUCACACCAUCGGAUGUGCCCAGAUGGGAUUAGCUAGUAGGUGGGGUAAUGGCUCACCUAGGCGACGAUCCCUAGCUGGUCUGAGAGGAUGACCAGCCACACUGGAACUGAGACACGGUCCAGACUCCUACGGGAGGCAGCAGUGGGGAAUAUUGCACAAUGGGCGCAAGCCUGAUGCAGCCAUGCCGCGUGUAUGAAGAAGGCCUUCGGGUUGUAAAGUACUUUCAGCGGGGAGGAAGGCGGUGAGGUUAAUAACCUUGCCGAUUGACGUUACCCGCAGAAGAAGCACCGGCUAACUCCGUGCCAGCAGCCGCGGUAAUACGGAGGGUGCAAGCGUUAAUCGGAAUUACUGGGCGUAAAGCGCACGCAGGCGGUCUGUUAAGUCAGAUGUGAAAUCCCCGGGCUUAACCUGGGAACUGCAUUUGAAACUGGCAGGCUUGAGUCUCGUAGAGGGGGGUAGAAUUCCAGGUGUAGCGGUGAAAUGCGUAGAGAUCUGGAGGAAUACCGGUGGCGAAGGCGGCCCCCUGGACGAAGACUGACGCUCAGGUGCGAAAGCGUGGGGAGCAAACAGGAUUAGAUACCCUGGUAGUCCACGCCGUAAACGAUGUCGACUUGGAGGUUGUGCCCUUGAGGCGUGGCUUCCGGAGCUAACGCGUUAAGUCGACCGCCUGGGGAGUACGGCCGCAAGGUUAAAACUCAAAUGAAUUGACGGGGGCCCGCACAAGCGGUGGAGCAUGUGGUUUAAUUCGAUGCAACGCGAAGAACCUUACCUGGCCUUGACAUCCAGAGAACUUAGCAGAGAUGCUUUGGUGCCUUCGGGAACUCUGAGACAGGUGCUGCAUGGCUGUCGUCAGCUCGUGUUGUGAAAUGUUGGGUUAAGUCCCGCAACGAGCGCAACCCUUAUCCUUUGUUGCCAGCGGUUCGGCCGGGAACUCAAAGGAGACUGCCGGUGAUAAACCGGAGGAAGGUGGGGAUGACGUCAAGUCAUCAUGGCCCUUACGGCCAGGGCUACACACGUGCUACAAUGGCGCAUACAAAGAGAAGCGACCUCGCGAGAGCAAGCGGACCUCAUAAAGUGCGUCGUAGUCCGGGAUUGGAGUCUGCAACUCGACUCCAUGAAGUCGGAAUCGCUAGUAAUCGUAGAUCAGAAUGCUACGGUGAAUACGUUCCCGGGCCUUGUACACACCGCCCGUCACACCAUGGGAGUGGGUUGCAAAAGAAGUAGGUAGCUUAACC